This 1252-nucleotide ribosomal RNA is filed under the name metagenome. RNAcentral describes it as "SSU rRNA". It matches the Rfam family "Eukaryotic small subunit ribosomal RNA", at positions 478 to 1759 of the family's 1831-position model. The record is from RNAcentral.
UAACGGGGCGGUCCUCUAUGAGGCCCGUCAUUGUAUUGAGUAAAACUCAAAAUAUCUAACGAAACCAAUUGGAGGGCAAGUCUGGUGCCAGCAGCCGCGGUAAUUCCAGCUCCAAAAGCAUAUAUUAAAGUUGUUGCGGUUAAAAAGCUCGUAGUUGGAUCCAUGACCUCGGAGGGCGGUCCCCCACUGGGUGCGUACUGCUGCUCCGAGUCCUAUCUGUCAGUUUGUCUGUGUUGCCUUUAAUCGGGUGGCACAGGUGACUGACGUGUUUACUUUGAAAAAAUUAGAGUGUUUAAAGCAGGCGUUGAAUGCCUGAAUAGUGGUGCAUGGAAUAAUGGAAUAGGAUCUCGGUUCUAUUUUGUUGGUUCAAGAGCAUGAGAAAAUGAUUAAGAGAGACAGACGGGGGCAUUUGUAUUGCUGCGUUAGAGGUGAAAUUCUUGGAUCGCAGCAAGACAAACUACUGCGAAGGCAUUUGCCAAGAAUGUUUUCAUUAAUCAAGAACGAAAGUUAGAGGUUCGAAGGCGAUCAGAUACCGCCCUAGUUCUAACCGUAAACCAUGUCGACUAGCUAUCUGUCAGCGUUAAUAAUGACCUGACAGGCAGCUUACCGGAAACGAAAGUUUCUCGAUCCCGGGGGUAGUAUGGUUGCAAAGCUGAAACUUAGAGGAAUUGACGGAAGGGCACCACCAGGAGUGGAGCCUGCGGCUUAAUUUGACCCAACACGGGAAAACUCACCCGGCCCGGACACCGUAAGGAUUGACAGAUUAAUAGCUCUUUCUCGAUUUGGUGAUUGGUGGUGCAUGGCCGUUCUUAGUUGGUGGAGCGAUUUGUCUGGUUAAUUCCGAUAACGAACGAGAUUCUAACUUACUAACUAGUUCCACGAUCCUUGUGGUCCUAAAUACUUCUUAGAGGGAAAACCGGCAUUUAGUCGAACGAGAUUGAGCAAUAACAGGUCUGUGAUGCCCUUAGAUGUCCGGGGCUGCACGCGUGCUACACUGAAGGAAUCAGCGUGUUUUUCCCUUGCCUGUAAUGGCUGGGUAACCGACUGAAUCUCCUUCGUGCUAGGGAUAGAUCAUUGAAACUAGUGAUCUUCAACUUGGAAUUCCUGGUACGUUUGAGUCAUAAGCUCAAGCAGAUUACGUCCCUGCCCUUUGUACACACCGCCCGUCGCUACUACCGACUGGCAAUAUCUUUGAGACACUUGGAGCGGCCGUGAGCUACCCUAACCGGUAACUCACGGCUGCGAAAAGGUU